UACCCGCUGGAAUUAAGCAUAUCAAUAAGCGGAGGAAAAGAAACCAACCGGGAUUGCCUCAGUAACGGCGAGUGAAGCGGCAAGAGCUCAAAUUUGAAAGCUGGCUCCUUCGGGGUCCGCAUUGUAAUUUGCAGAGGAUGCUUCGGGUGCGGCCCCUGUCUAAGUGCCCUGGAACGGGCCGUCAGAGAGGGUGAGAAUCCCGUCUGGGAUGGGGUGUCCGCGCCCGUGUGAAGCUCCUUCGACGAGUCGAGUUGUUUGGGAAUGCAGCUCUAAAUGGGUGGUAAAUUUCAUCUAAAGCUAAAUACUGGCCGGAGACCGAUAGCGCACAAGUAGAGUGAUCGAAAGAUGAAAAGCACUUUGAAAAGAGAGUUAAAAAGCACGUGAAAUUGUUGAAAGGGAAGCGCUUGCGACCAGACUCGCCUCCAGGGUUCAGCCGGCAUUCGUGCCGGUGUACUUCCCUGGGGGCGGGCCAGCGUCGGUUUGGGCGGCCGGUCAAAGGCUCCCGGAAUGUAGUGCCCUCCGGGGCACCUUAUAGCCGGGAGUGCAAUGCGGCCAGCCUGGACCGAGGAACGCGCUUCGGCACGGACGCUGGCAUAAUGGUCGUAAACGACCCGUCUUGAACCACGGACCA
This 631-nucleotide ribosomal RNA is filed under the name Aspergillus oryzae. Its description in RNAcentral is "partial large subunit ribosomal RNA". It matches the Rfam family "Eukaryotic large subunit ribosomal RNA", at positions 22 to 668 of the family's 3401-position model. The record is from RNAcentral. Lineage: Eukaryota; Fungi; Ascomycota; Eurotiomycetes; Eurotiales; Aspergillaceae.